Molecule: unclassified non-coding RNA, 360 nt
Filed under: soil metagenome
Description: partial contains 5.8S ribosomal RNA, internal transcribed spacer 2, and large subunit ribosomal RNA
Rfam family: 5.8S ribosomal RNA (bases 1-120)
Source: RNAcentral
GAUGAAGAACGCAGCGAAAUGCGAUAAGUAAUGCGAAUUGCAGAAUUCAGUGAAUCAUCGAAUCUUUGAACGCACAUUGCGCCCGCCAGUAUUCUGGCGGGCAUGCCUGUCUGAGCGUCGUUUCGACCCUCGCGCCCGGCUUCUGUCGGGGGCGGUGUUGGGGAUCGGCCACACCCUUCAGUGGGAGGCCGGCCCCUAAAUUCAGUGGCGACCAUGCUGUAGCCUCCCCUGCGUAGUAUUAAAACCACCUCGCAGGCGGAGAGCGGUGCGGCCCGCCGUAAAACCCCCCCACUUUUACAAGGUCGACCUCAGAUCAGGUAGGAAUACCCGCUGAACUUAAGCAUAUCAAUAAGCGGAGGA